RNAcentral lists this ribosomal RNA (407 nucleotides) under bacterium enrichment culture clone ALO1_GLFRUDD03HAWH6. RNAcentral describes it as "bacterial SSU rRNA". It matches the Rfam family "Bacterial small subunit ribosomal RNA", at positions 9 to 416 of the family's 1533-position model. The record is from RNAcentral.
GAGUUUGAUCUUGGCUCAGAUUGAACGCUGGCGGCAUGCCUUACACAUGCAAGUCGAACGGCAGCACGGGAGCUUGCUCCUGGUGGCGAGUGGCGAACGGGUGAGUAAUGCAUCGGAACGUAUCCUGGAGUGGGGGAUAACGUAGCGAAAGUUACGCUAAUACCGCAUAUUCUGUGAGCAGGAAAGCGGGGGACCUUCGGGCCUCGCGCUCUUGGAGCGGCCGAUGUCGAAUUAGCUAGUUGGUGAGGUAAAGGCUCACCGAGGCGACGAUCCGUAGCAGGUCUGAGAGGAUGAUCUGCCACACUGGAACUGAGACACGGUCCAGACUCCUACGGGAGGCAGCAGUGGGGAAUUUUGGACAAUGGGGGCAACCCUGAUCCAGCCAUGCCGCGUGAGUGAAGAAGGCC